Non-coding RNA from Cherax quadricarinatus, 366 nucleotides. Lineage: Eukaryota; Metazoa; Arthropoda; Malacostraca; Decapoda; Parastacidae. The record is from RefSeq and is a predicted model, not a curated record.
GGCAACUGCUCCUAGUAGUGGAGCCAGUUAUAGUUUUAUUGUUUACAUUAUUCUUGCACUCAUAAACGUUGUACUAUCGUUAGAACAUGUCUUAAGGCAUAGUUUCAUUAUUUUGUUAUUAUUCUGUGACUUAAGCAGAAAGUAUAUAUGAAUUUAAUAAGAUAUAUUGAGGUAAAUUGUUUGUGUGCGCAGUGUUGGAAGUGCAGGAGAGGAGCCAGCUCCAACACUCACAUCACCACCACCUUCAUUAUCAACACUCACCACCUCCACCACUAAACCUCAUCUUCAGCUGUUAAAGAGUACUACCACUGUUAAGUGAGCUGAGGAUACUUACCAACAUGGGCACCUACGCUCACUCCUUCCGUG